RNAcentral lists this long non-coding RNA (993 nucleotides) under Olea europaea subsp. europaea. Lineage: Eukaryota; Viridiplantae; Streptophyta; Magnoliopsida; Lamiales; Oleaceae. The record is from RNAcentral.
CAAUAACAAAAUAAUAUUAAAAACGUCACAACAAUUUACCAUUGUUCCCAACAGGUUUUCACACUUCGGAAACCACGCAUAAUGACAUCAUCAUCUAUUUUUUGGAAUACAUCGUUUUCAAUAUAUACAACUAAGUUGUCAUUCAUCCACCGAUCUCCAAUUUUAUUGCGCAAUCGAGCCUUCACAAUGUUAGUUGCAGUCAAGACUCUUUCAACUGUAGGAGUAGCAAUGGGAAGAAUUAAUGCCAAAUUCACAAGCUUGUAAACUAAUGGAUACACUUCAUUUUUCUUAGUUGCAUUCAACUUCUUUGAAAGAUUACUAAGGCCCCGUAAUUCUUUGAACUCUUUGCUAGAGCGCAUAUCAGAUAUAUAAGUUUCAAGUUGAUCAUCAAGUUUCAUACACUCUGUUGUUGAAAAAUCGUUCGGAUAAUACCGAGCAAGGAGAACUAACUUUUCCUUAUCAAAAGCCGAGAAUGAAUCAUUGGGGCAUAAGCAUGCUACACAAAGAAGAAGCUCAUUACUUAUCUCAGUGAAUCGAUCAUUCAAUUCUUGAAGUUGCAUAUCAAUGACAUUAUAAAAUAAGCCCUCACGGAAGUAAUGCAAAUUUGUCAUUUCUUCAAUAUUUCGCCUUGGGCGAACUUGAUGUAUAAAGGUACCAUCCAUGUUCAAAACAUCGAUAUUGUGCUUUUGACAGAAAGAACUUACUUGUUCCAAAAGAGAAUCCCACCCAUUCUCCCUCAUCAAUUGGAGUUGUUGUUUACAUACUUUCACUAAAUUUAUGGCAUUUACAAUAUCUUCAUCUUUCUUUUGUAAUGCCUUCGACAAUUCAUUGGAAAUUCCUAAAAUAGUUCUCAUGAGAUGUAGACUAAACGCAAAGUCAAAUGAUAGCAUCCAAUCUAAUAAAUUAUUUGCCCAGGAUCUUUGAUCAGGACAUAAUUCAACAUCAACAAUCAUUUCAAGGACAUCAAGGAUAGGCGAGAACAUGGUAAUCAAA